UACGAGCGAAAGCUUAAAACUCAAAGGACCUGACGGUGUCCCACACCAACCUAGAGGAGCCUGUCCCAUAAUCGAUAAUCCGCGAUAAACCUCACCGCCCCUGGCCCACCCAGUCUAUAUACCGCCGUCGCCAGCCUAUCUCACAAGAGUCAAUGGCCAAACAGCAGCACAGCACUGCUAAUACGACAGGUCAAGGCGUAACUCAUGGGGCGGAGAAGAUUGGCUACAAUGCCUACCUACAAGGCUAAACGAAACAUACCAUGAAACUGGGAUAAGAAGAUGAAUUUAGC
Molecule: ribosomal RNA, 290 nt
Filed under: Uromastyx aegyptia microlepis
Lineage: Eukaryota; Metazoa; Chordata; Lepidosauria; Squamata; Agamidae
Description: partial 12S rRNA
Rfam family: Bacterial small subunit ribosomal RNA
Source: RNAcentral